Molecule: ribosomal RNA, 463 nt
Filed under: uncultured bacterium
Lineage: Bacteria
Description: partial 16S ribosomal RNA
Rfam family: Bacterial small subunit ribosomal RNA
Source: RNAcentral
GAUGAACGCUGACAGAAUGCUUAACACAUGCAAGUCGAUGGGGAAGUGGUGCUUGCACCAUGGUAACCAUGGCGGACGGGUGAGUAACGCGUAAGGAACUUACCUGCGGGACCGGGAUAACAGCAGGAAACUGCUGACAAGACCGGAUAAGGUCAUUAAGCUGCAUAGCUUAGUGAUGAAAGGAGACGCCUGCGGAGAGCCUUGCGUCCUAUUAGCUAGUUGGAGGGGUAACGGCCCACCAAGGCGAAGAUAGGUAGCCGGCCUGAGAGGGUGGACGGCCACAAGGGGACUGAGAUACGGCCCUUACUCCUACGGGAGGCAGCAGUGGGGAAUAUUGGACCAUGGGGGCAACCCUGAUCCAGCAAUUCUGUGUGCACGAAGACGGUUUUCGGAUUGUAAAGUGCUUUCAGCAGGGAAGAAGGAAGUGACGGUACCUGCAGAAGAAGCGACGGCUAAAUACGUG